AGUAACGCUGGCGGUAGGCCUAACACAUGCAAGUCGAACGGCAGCACAGGAGAGCUUGCUCUCUGGGUGGCGAGUGGCGGACGGGUGAGGAAUACAUCGGAAUCCACUCUGUCGUGGGGGAUAACGUAGGGAAACUUACGCUAAUACCGCAUACGACCUACGGGUGAAAGCAGGGGACCUUCGGGCCUUGCGCGAUUGAAUGAGCCGAUGUCGGAUUAGCUAGUUGGCGGGGUAAAGGCCCACCAAGGCGACGAUCCGUAGCUGGUCUGAGAGGAUGAUCAGCAACACUGGAACUGAGACACGGUCCAGACUCCUACGGGAGGCAGCAGUGGGGAAUAUUGGACAAUGGGCGCAAGCCUGAUCCAGCCAUACCGCGUGGGUGAAGAAGGCCUUCGGGUUGUAAAGCCCUUUUGUUGGGAAAGAAAUCCAGCUGGCUAAUACCCGGUUGGGAUGACGGUACCCAAAGAAUAAGCACCGGCUAACUUCGUGCCAGCAGCCGCGGUAA
Molecule: ribosomal RNA, 505 nt
Filed under: uncultured bacterium
Lineage: Bacteria
Description: partial 16S ribosomal RNA
Rfam family: Bacterial small subunit ribosomal RNA
Source: RNAcentral